Unclassified non-coding RNA from Myotis lucifugus (little brown bat), 319 nucleotides. Its record names the gene 7SK. It matches the Rfam family "7SK RNA". From Rfam's summary of the family: 7SK was discovered as an abundant small nuclear RNA in the mid-70s but a possible function has only recently been suggested. Two independent studies have found that 7SK RNA binds the CDK9/cyclin T complex (known as elongation factor P-TEFb). P-TEFb activates transcription by phosphorylating the C-terminal domain of RNA polymerase II. The record is from Ensembl. NCBI's taxonomy places the organism in Eukaryota, Metazoa, Chordata, Mammalia, Chiroptera, Vespertilionidae.
GGAUGUGAGGGCGAUCUGGCUGCGACAUCUGUCACCCCAUUGAUCGCCAGGGUUGAUUCGACUGAUCUGGCUGGCUAGGCGGGUGUCCCCCUCCUCCCUCACCGAUCCAUGUGCGUCCCUCCCGAAGCUGUGUGCUCGGUCGAAGAGGACAACCUUCCCCCCCGAGGAGAGGACCUGUCUUCGGUCAAGGGUAUACGAGUAGCUGCGCUCCCCUGCUAGAACCUCCAAACAAGCUCUCAAGGAAAGAAGCGCUAUUAAAGAUAAAGGAGACUCUGACAUGUCUAAUCCCACACCUAGACUGCCUAAAUAGGAUAUUUCU